Molecule: long non-coding RNA, 6869 nt
Organism: Ictalurus punctatus (channel catfish)
Lineage: Eukaryota; Metazoa; Chordata; Actinopteri; Siluriformes; Ictaluridae
Exons: 2
Source: RefSeq, a predicted model, not a curated record
GGUUGGAGUUGCUCUAGGUGCUGAGUGUAGCGACCUGCUGACCGCGCGCGCAGCGACACCUACUGGUUAACGCAUGCGCUGUGAGCACCGGAGAGCGCCAGCGGCCAGCAAACUCUGAACCUUCAAUAUCUUUCACAACGUUCGCAAAAUGUAUACAUGCAGGUCAUGAUGAAUCCGGAGUCUAUCCUGGGAACACUGGGCAUGAGGUGGGAAUACAUCAAGGAUACGCUACCAGUCCAGUACAGGUCACACAACAUGAACACACAAUAACGUAAAAUAACAGCAAAAUGCUGCAGCAAAUGCUCAGAUACACUGUUCUUUAUCAUAUCCUCUUUAUCGAGGCCUCUGCCAAACUUUAAAUCCAACUCGUCCAAACACUAUUUAAAGAAAUCUCCGUUAAGACCAGUGUUGAACGAUGAACUGUCAGCACUUAUACACCUCCAGAUCGAUUAUGUAAGCAGUGAUUUCAUUUGAAUUAACAGAGAAUACACAAAGCAGCUUCCUUAUAACCUGCUGGAAAACCCCAGGUGGACACAGAGUGACAUUUAACAAUGAUGAAGAUAUUACUUCAGCAAGUUGCCAAUAUAUUUUUAUAUAUAUUUAAAUAAAUAAUCAAGGAAUUGAGAAAACAGAUCACUUGAGAGGAAACGUAACGCAAAAAUGCCAAUUGGUAUAAAAAUAGUAGCCAAAAAGGAUUUGCAAAGGGCAUUUUUUCUCAAUUCCUUGUAUUUUGUUUGCGAUAGCUAAUUAUUUUUGCACCUUGCUGAAGUUAAAUCUAUGCAAUAUUCACUUUUUUGUGACUAUUAAAGUCCACGAUUUGACUCCAUAGCCACACAGCUUCUCACAGCUUCAGGGUUUGAUCCUGAGCUCAGGUUUCUCUCUGAAUUGAGUUUUGCAUGUUCUCUGCGUUUCCUCCGGGUUCUACAGUUUUUUUCUCACUUCUCAGAAACAUGCUAGUCUAAGUUGCGCUAGGUGUGUGUGUGUGUGUGUGUGUGAGUGUGUGUGUGUGUGUGUGCGUGCAUGGUAUCCAGGGUGUAUUCCUGCCUCACACACAGUGGUUCUGGGAUAGGCUGUAGAUCCACCAUUAUCCAUUAUCCUUGAUCAGGAUGAAGCAGUUACUGAAGAUGAAAGAACAAAUGAAGAAUUAAAUGGUGCAGGGAAUCUGCCAGACACAACAACAAGAACAACUAUUUGUAUGUUUUCUGUUAGUUUUCCCUGAGGUCCACAGGGUCCACAGUAUUUCAUUUCAAUGCACACUGGGAAUGACUAAUAACAUUCCAAUUAAGUUAUUCUUACUCCAUAAGGACCUGGCAGAUGGCCUGAAGUCGAUGCAGAGGAGUUUGGGAACUGGGGUGAAGAGGGUAAGAUUUAACCAGAGCAUCCCCUUUAUGGCAGAAUGAUGAGCACUCUCUCUAUUUGUGGUCUGCUCACAUGCACGAACAUUGACCCAUUGCUUCCAGACUCACUCCGUUUGAAUCAGUAUCACACCAAGAAUUUUGCAGUAGGACUGACAUUUACAUCCACCCUGUCCUAAUUCACUCUAAUGAGAUGUACUGAGACAGCUUUAAUGCACGGGCAUGCACCAGGAGGAUGAUUUGCAUCCUCUUAUUCUUUUCUGAGAGAACCCUGGCCGACAUGCGGCUCCAUCCUGCGCUGGAAGUGUGUGCCGCUUAGUGGAGAUGAAAGCUAAAUUGAAGGACUUUCGUGAUUGAUAGUGAUGAUAUGAGUGCGGGCUUUAAUUGGGCACGUUGGGAUUGGCGAAAAGGCACGUGCACCACUCUCUGGCCAACUGCUUCUCUGUGGAACCCAAUGGCCCAGUGGUGCGACUCGUUCAAAAUACCUUCACAGGCAUGUGUCUAUUGUUACCAGAUGUCACUCUGAAACGUGGCCUUUUUUUGUUUCAGAGUGUUUAAGAGUGUGUUGUGUACCACGUCUCCAUGCCUCCUGUGUGUGUCCUAUGUUCUCGGCUGGUUCCCUUCUUUCCCAAUGCCAGGUGCUGCAGCAGCAGAGCUAGUGGUUAUGGGCUCUGUCUGUGUGUGCAUGGCGGACUCGCCAGAUGAUAAUCUGCAGGGCACAUGGCUGUACACUGAGCAAUCUCCACCGCCUUCCCUCUCCUCAUUAGCCCUACACAGACCAGCCAUACGCUCCACUUAAAAUACACACACACACGCACACCGCAAAAGGGAAGAGUGGCCUUUGUUUUCUGUGUCCUACAUACAACCCUUGUUGAACCUCCUCCUUUUCUCUCCUCUCCACCAUGUAAAUCUCUUUUCUGGCUUAAUUCUCGCUGAAAACCAUAUGGUGUGUGACAUCAUGAGGCCAGGAAGUAGAGAGCGAGAAAGACAGACCAAAUGAGAGCAAGGGAAAGAGAACGAUUGCACCACCAGGUCUCUGUUCAGUGAUGUCAGCAGAGAGGCAUGCUCAGAGGCCUGUUGGGGGGUGAGGGGAGCAGGUUGGAAGUGUUUUCACUUUUCUAGAUUUCACCCCCACCUGUAUAAUCAGAGUACAGCAGGAAAAGUAGCAGGGGUGCUUGUGGACUCAGUGAGAACCGCUUUGCAUUCUGGGGUUGUCCCUCUACUGGCAUGAGGAAUGUUUGUGCUCACUCAUCAUACACACGUAUUCUCGCUUUCACGCCAUAUCCUGUUGGCUCUCUUGGCAGUGAAGUUAAGUUUGGCAUAUGGAUUGCAUGGAUUUUUUUUUUUUUGCCACAUUAUGGAAAAGUAAACAUUAACAUCACUGAAAACAGAACUUUCUGAGAGUUUUGAAUGCUACCGAUGAAAGCCUACAUGUACAUCAUGAAUGCAUAUAGGAUAGAUUCGACCCUAUUUGAGCUCUUGAUGAGUGCAAUGCGUGCAGUAUAGUAAUGCAUGGAGACCUGGAAGAGAAGCAGACUUGACAUCUGGGAUAUACGUUAAAGGCUCACAAUGCGAAAAACCGUUUGCACCGAGUUGCCUUAAUGAGACAAAAGUGCACAUUCUACAUCUGUUUGUAUUGAACCAUGAGAUUUUCCAUGUUUAUACGCUAUGAUAGACAGAAUCUAGGAUUUCUCCUCCUACUCCUCAGUGGACUUCACGUCUGUUUCCGCUGCCCUCUCUUUCUCCCCCACUCCCCACUCUGUCUUGCUCCAUCUCAGCUCCAUCCAACUGCUCUGCUCUGUUUAUCUCUAUCUCUCUCAUCCUCUUAGUCUCUCUCACUGACGAGUCGCAAUCUGCGCACCAGGCCUUUUUGUCUGACAGCCUCCCUCCCCUCCUGCAUUCGCUCGCUGGGUGAACUCUUCAGCUUUGUUGGGAGGUCCUGGUCUCCAUACCACCACCACCACUAUCCCCCUUCCUGCCAGCUCUCUAUCAGCACGUACACACACACACAUACACACACACACACACACACACUACCCCUCUCCUCUCCUCUGAUUAAUGGCAGAGCUGGGGAGUAUGCCAGGCCAGUUCCUUGCUUAGUGAAGUGAAGGGAGAGGAAGGGAAGGCAAGGCGAGGCAGGGUUGCUGCAGCUGUGGUUUUGGAGUCUGUCUCUCGGCCCCUGCUCUGCCCCCUUUCUCUCUCCAUCUCCUCUCUGGCUCCUCCAGGGACACACGCUUUGGCCAGGCCCCAGGAACCAAGAACCAGGGAGUCAGGACUAGGGGGACAAAAAAAGGGGAAACAAGAAAGCAAGGCUGUGAUGUAUAGCGGGGGCGACUGCACGGACGAACUGAGGGUGAAUUUAAGGAAAACGGCAGGAUGUUCGAGUUUUUUUGGCAGGAAUUAAAGAUACCUCCAAAAAGUUCCGGGGACAGCAGGAAUGCCAGGAAAGUCUGAAAGAAUCCUAGGUUACACUUACAUUGACAUGAUAUGUGAUGAGCUGAUGAUAGCAGAUGGCACAUUCUUCAUCAGUUAUUUAUAGAGUAUAUCCUAAUCCCUUAAAUUUGGAGGAAAUAACUUAUGAGGUCAGAGGAAACCCUCGAGGAGUAUUGUGUCCUUAUUCGGGAUAUAAAUGUAAGUACACUCAAAUCUGCUUUAGAUACAGUAUAUGGAGGUGUUAUACCAUGUGGAUUUCAGUGUUCGGUGCAGUUUUGAUGUACUCUCUCUCUUUUAAUGUUUUAUGAGCUGUAGGGCUGCGGUGUGCUGACCUCGCUCUCACCCCAGUGCCACCCAGCCAGUGCGGGACUCAGGCGCGAUUGGCCCCUGCCAAAACUCCACAGCGGCACAUCUGCUAUCCAUAAACGCCAGCCACUCACUUCAUCUCCUUCGCCCACCCCCUACCUCCUCCACUUCUCCUGUUGGUUUAUUUCUGCUUUGCCAUCUGAGCAGGCCAUGUACUGUUCUCCUGCCAUCUUGGGUUUUUUUUCUUCCUCUUUUUUCGACUCUGCCCAAGCAAGCAGUGGUUGUUCUCUUAUUCCUGUCCUUCGCAACCCCAUGCUCCAUCUCUCCCUCUUUAUCUUGUUCCAACGGAAAAAUUUCUCACCCAUUAUAUCCUAAACUGGAAGCCAGCUGAGUGUGGUGGCUGUGAAUUAGGAGCCGCAGGACGAUCCAGCUCCAAGCCACCAGCCUUAACCCUUUCUGCUCUUCCCACGGCACAGUACUAUCACUGUCUGCAUGAGAUAUCCUAAUUAUAUCGCUCCAGUUUGGCUUUGUUGUGAGACAUGCAUUACUUUCACUCAACACGCAGUAAACCGAACAUUUCCUUCUGCAAAAGGCAGGGAUGUUUUUGGGUGAUCUGUGUGGUUCUAGAGGAAAGCUCCCUAUCCACAUUCCAUUCAUGUGUUGCUUAAAGUUAAGGACAAUCUCCAGUGUGGGAGGAUUAGAUUUCCUCUCUAGAUCAUAAGCAUUUGGCCAGGCGCACCACACCCAUUAGCUUUAAAAAAAAAAAAAAAAAAGAUGUGUUUAACACGUCCUCACUGAAUACCCUGUGUGCACUACGGCCUAAAAAAUGAACAAAGAAAAUAAAUUGAGUGCCUCGACUUAACCGUCCAGAGCUUCAAGUGCACCCCUAGGUAAUAAAGAAGUAUUACCCUUCUGCAAUUGUUUUAUCAUUAUUUUGACGUUUUUUCCACUGUAAUCAAAUUCACAGUGUGCAAAAAAAAAUAUCGCAUACUGAACUUUUGCUCCUUUAUAUCCUGGAUCACUCUGUCCUUUCCAAGCCCAAGUAUUCACCUUUUCUUUUCCCAGACAUAUUGGCAUGAAUCUAUGGUGGGGUCCCAGCAGAACCCUGGGAUGAAUCAUGUAGCUGUAAGCAUGCAAGAACACUGUCUUAUGAUAAAUUUUACAAACCAUAAAUCAUUGUUUCUUAGAAAAAAAAAAGGGGGGGGGGGGUCUGAGCAAGGGAGAGAAAGUGUGUGCAGAAAAACAUUUGGGAAUCCUGAGAGAAAACAAAAGCAGGGUAACAUUUAGUUGUGUGUGUGUGUGUGUGUGAAUGGUGGUGAAAAUGAGGCUUCAGGUCAGAGGGACCACUGGGGAGUGGGAGUGGUGGAGGAGGCAGAGGAAUAGAGGAUUGUGGAAACACAGCCAGUGCCUUCGGACUGAAGCCAUGUUCUUACACCAGAAAGUCCAAUAGAAGUCUGCUGAGCUUUGUGUAUACAUACACACCACUGUCUCCUCUAAUUUAUCUAAGCGUCAGUGGUCAAGUGAGGAUAAGGACCAUUAAUUUUGGUUCGAAUUGAAGAUGAGGUCAUGAUGGCAUCAUUUAAAACUUGUCCAUGGAUGUUAUGGUCAACUCAGAAGACAUUAUUAGUUGAGAUUUCAGCAGGAAUUCUGCUCAAGAUCCAGAGUAUUCCUUGUUAAACUGGCAAUAAAUGCUCUGCAAAUUAAAACUGUUGGACACAAUGGCACAUCAGGUAACGUUGCUGCCUCAGUUCCAGGUGCUCUGGUUCAAUCCUGAAAUUGGGUUAUUGUCUGUGUGGAGUUUCAUAUGUUCUCCGCAUGUGUUUCCUCUCGGUUCUACAGAUUAUAUAAAAUGGUGUAGUGAUUUCAGAAUACUAUUAGACCUCAGGAAGAAAUAAGUUCUCAAACGUCAAUCCAUCAAACACUCUGACAGCCAAGCGCCUUCAUUUUAAUACACACAUGCCAUCUAGUGGCCAUAGCAAGCAAUGCUUAAAUACAGAUUUGUCAUAAAGACAAAUGUAAUAUAUUUCAUUCAUUUGUUUAUGCUGUUAGAACUGUAUACAGUGUGAUAGAAGCCAAUCGUGGGAAAGUCAUGUCCACUGCUUCUGCCAGUCCAUAAUCAUCUUUCCUCUCUCUACUCCAUGUCAACAUCAUGGAGAUCCUCCGGCUCCUCUUUCUUCACCCAGGGCACAGGAUGAGGCACAUAGGGGUCAUAUGUCCAGCGAGGAUACACUCUCUUAUACAGGUUCAUCAACACUGUGUCCUGAGAACGCAGCUGACUGUCAAACACACAUUUCAUGUGACCAUGUGUACCUGCGUAAAAAGAGGAACAGAGAAAAAUACACUUUAGUUUCAAUCUCUAACCACAAACAUCAAGCCGUUUUCGUGCGAGAUGUAACUCCACGUGACUCAAUUGAUGGCUGACUGAAACUCAAGUUUAGUACAACGAUGAAGAAUUGUGCUUUUCUCUUUUCUUCUCACCCAAAGCCUCCUUGAUGUGUCCUCUCCGUCCCCACUUCGUACGCAACUCCACUGGCUUAAACCACAAAAUAUCAUCUGCAAGGAAAGUCACAAAUGAGAUAAAGUUUAGUUUUGGUAACACAAAACUGCCCCCUACUGCUUAUGAACUGUUCCUGAGCUGCUUGUAUAAUUUCACAUAAGCAGUGAUCCUCCUCCUCACCCCUGUUGAAGAACAUGUAGCGGACAACGGCAGAACGGCGGUUAAUCUUGAAGGGGUGUCCACUCAGCACAAUCCUCUUCAGCACUACACGCUGAGGG